This 442-nucleotide ribosomal RNA is filed under the name uncultured bacterium. RNAcentral describes it as "partial 16S ribosomal RNA". It matches the Rfam family "Bacterial small subunit ribosomal RNA", at positions 338 to 795 of the family's 1533-position model. The record is from RNAcentral.
CCUACGGGUGGCUGCAGUGGGGAAUAUUGGGCAAUGGGCGCAAGCCUGACCCAGCAACGCCGCGUGAAGGAAGAAGGCUUUCGGGUUGUAAACUUCUUUUAAGGGGGAAGAGGAGAAGACGGUACCCCUUGAAUAAGCCACGGCUAACUACGUGCCAGCAGCCGCGGUAAUACGUAGGUGGCAAGCGUUGUCCGGAUUUACUGGGUGUAAAGGGCGUGCAGCCGGGAGGACAAGUCAGAUGUGAAAUCCCGCGGCUCAACCGCGGAACUGCAUUUGAAACUGUUUUUCUUGAGUACCGGAGAGGUCAUCGGAAUUCCUUGUGUAGCGGUGAAAUGCGUAGAUAUACGGAGGAACACCAGUGGCGAAGGCGGCCUGCUGGACAUUAACUGACGCUGAGGCGCGAAAGCGUGGGGAGCAAACAGGAUUAGAUACCCGUGUAGUC